Molecule: ribosomal RNA, 502 nt
Filed under: uncultured Glomeromycotina
Lineage: Eukaryota; Fungi; Glomeromycota
Description: partial small subunit ribosomal RNA
Rfam family: Eukaryotic small subunit ribosomal RNA
Source: RNAcentral
CCAAUAGCGUAUAUUAAAGUUGUUGCAGUUAAAAAGCUCGUAGUUGAACUUCGGGGUUUACCCAUUGGUCAGGCUUAAUUGUCUGUACUGGUGAGAUGAAUCUCUACCUUCUGAGGAACUUUCAUGCCAUUUAUUUGGUGUGAUUGGAAAUCAGGACUGUUACUUUGAAAAAAUUAGAGUGUUUAAAGCAGGCUAACGUCUGAAUACAUUAGCAUGGAAUAAUGAAAUAGGACGGACUGAUUCUAUUUCGUUGGUUUCUAGGAUCACCGUAAUGAUUAAUAGGGAUAGUUGGGGGCAUUAGUAUUCAAUUGUCAGAGGUGAAAUUCUUGGAUUUAUUGAAGACUAACUACUGCGAAAGCAUUUGCCAAGGAUGUUUUCAUUAAUCAAGAACGAAAGUUAGGGGAUCGAAGACGAUCAGAUACCGUCGUAGUCUUAACCAUAAACUAUGCCGACUAGGAAUCAGACGAUGUUAAUUUUUUAAUGACUCGUUUGGCACCUUACG